GUGAAUCAUCGAAUUUUUGAACGCAAAUUGCGCUUCCUGGCAUCCCGGGGAGGAUGCCUGUUUGAGGGUCAGUAUUAAUAAAAAAUCGGUUUAGUUACAAAUGGUGACGUUUCCGGAGUUUGGGCUACCUUAACAUUUUUGGUUAAGAGGCUUAAAAUUGGCCUUUUUUAUGCAUUUUGAAACUUAAAUAAAU
RNAcentral lists this unclassified non-coding RNA (193 nucleotides) under Glomeraceae sp. Its description in RNAcentral is "partial contains 5.8S ribosomal RNA and internal transcribed spacer 2". The stretch from base 1 to 71 matches the Rfam family "5.8S ribosomal RNA", at positions 84 to 154 of the family's 154-position model. Lineage: Eukaryota; Fungi; Glomeromycota; Glomeromycetes; Glomerales; Glomeraceae. The record is from RNAcentral.